GACGAACGCUGGCGGCGUGCUUAACACAUGCAAGUCGAACGGAAAGGCCCUGCUUUUGUGGGGUGCUCGAGUGGCGAACGGGUGAGUAACACGUGAGUAACCUGCCCUUGACUUUGGGAUAACUUCAGGAAACUGGGGCUAAUACCGGAUAGGAGCUCCUGCUGCAUGGUGGGGGUUGGAAAGUUUCGGCGGUUGGGGAUGGACUCGCGGCUUAUCAGCUUGUUGGUGGGGUAGUGGCUUACCAAGGCUUUGACGGGUAGCCGGCCUGAGAGGGUGACCGGCCACAUUGGGACUGAGAUACGGCCCAGACUCCUACGGGAGGCUGCAGUGGGGAAUAUUGCGCAAUGGGCGGAAGCCUGAUGCAGCAACGCCGCGUGCGGGAUGACGGCCUUCGGGUUGUAAACCGCUUUCGCCUGUGACGAAGCGUGGGUGACGGUAAUGGGUAAAGAAGCACCGGCUAACUACGUG
This 468-nucleotide ribosomal RNA is filed under the name uncultured bacterium. Its description in RNAcentral is "partial 16S ribosomal RNA". It matches the Rfam family "Bacterial small subunit ribosomal RNA", at positions 28 to 507 of the family's 1533-position model. The record is from RNAcentral.